GAUGAACGCUGACAGAAUGCUUAACACAUGCAAGUCUACUUGAACUUCGGUUUGGGUGGCGGACGGGUGAGUAACGCGUAAAGAACUUGCCUCACAGAUAGGGACAACAUUUGGAAACGAAUGCUAAUACCUGAUAUUAUGAUUUUAGGGCAUCCUAGAAUUAUGAAAGCUAUAUGCACUGUGAGAGAGCUUUGCGUCCCAUUAGCUAGUUGGAGAGGUAACGGCUCACCAAGGCGAUGAUGGGUAGCCGGCCUGAGAGGGUGAUCGGCCACAAGGGGAAUGAGACAACACCCUUACGCCUACGGGAGGAAGCAGUGGGGAAUAUUGGACAAUGUACCAAGAGUCUGAUCCAGCAAUUCGGUGUAAAAAAUGAAGUUUUUCGGAAAGAAAAGUGCUUUCAGUUGGGAAGAAAAAAAUGACGGUACCAACAGAAGAAGUGACGGCUAAAUACGUG
This 454-nucleotide ribosomal RNA is filed under the name uncultured bacterium. RNAcentral's name for it is "partial 16S ribosomal RNA". It matches the Rfam family "Bacterial small subunit ribosomal RNA", at positions 28 to 507 of the family's 1533-position model. The record is from RNAcentral.